RNAcentral lists this long non-coding RNA (489 nucleotides) under Physcomitrium patens. RNAcentral's name for it is "long non-coding RNA (PPAT_LNC003762)". The record is from RNAcentral. Lineage: Eukaryota; Viridiplantae; Streptophyta; Bryopsida; Funariales; Funariaceae.
GGAUUGGGCUAAAAAAUCCUUAGGAUAGAAUAGAUUGAUACCCGGGGGUUGACCGUUUGUGAGACAGAGUCGAAAUCAGACCACUAGCCACUAAAACGACGGCUUAGGGCAAAAUAGGAUUUCAUUUGAAGAUUGGAGGUUAAAAUUUGAGAGCUAGCUUGAAGUUCUUUCUAGAGACAUAAGAAUUAUUUUGAGAAGAUUUUAGAAGACUUAGCAAUUGUUGUUCAAAGUCAGGGUUUGUAUCAGUGAUUUGGGUUUUAUAUAAUAUAACUAGGGCUAGAAAUUUUGGCUAGUUCGUGUAAUUGGUGUGACAUCUAUAGUUGAAAAUUUGAAAUUAUUUGGAUUAUCAGGUGUGCUAAGUGUAUAAAAUUUUUUGUAAUAAUCUAACAAUGUAAUUUAGAGAUAUCUAGUUUUUAGCACAAGAGAAUUUUAGAAGGUGGCAGUUUGAGGUUGGGCAGGAUUUCUAUGAUAUCUAAUGAUCUAUCAAUU